This is a non-coding RNA of Schistosoma margrebowiei, 45 nucleotides long. Lineage: Eukaryota; Metazoa; Platyhelminthes; Trematoda; Strigeidida; Schistosomatidae. The record is from Rfam.
AUCCAGCUGACGAGUCCCAACUACAACAAAACGCACGUCCUGGAU